CCUACGGGCGGCAGGGAGGAAUAGUGGUCAAGGGGAGCGAGCCUGAAACAGCCAAGAAGCGUGAAGGAUGACUGCGCUACGGGUUGUAAACCUCUUUUAUAAAGGAAUAAAGUGAGGCACGUGUGCCUUUUUGUAUGUACUUUAUGAAUAAGGAUCGGCUAACGCCGUGCCAGCAGCCGCGGUAAUACGGAGGAGACGAGAGUUAUCCGGAUUUAUUGGGUUUUAAGGGAGCGUAGAUGGGUUGUUAAGUCAGUUGUGAAAGUUUGCGGCUCAACCGUAAAAUUGCAAUUGAUACUGGCAGUCUUGAGUACAGUUGAGGUAGGCGGAAUUCGUGGUGUAGCGGUGAAAUGCUUAGAUAGCACGAAGAACUCCGAUUGCGAAGGCAGCUUACUAAACUGCCACUGACAUUGAUGCUCGAAAGUGUGGGUAUCAAACAGGAUUAGAUACCCCAGUAGUC
RNAcentral lists this ribosomal RNA (457 nucleotides) under uncultured bacterium. Its description in RNAcentral is "partial 16S ribosomal RNA". It matches the Rfam family "Bacterial small subunit ribosomal RNA", at positions 338 to 795 of the family's 1533-position model. The record is from RNAcentral.